AGUGAACGCCGGCGGCGUGCUUAACACAUGCAAGUCGAACGAGAACGGAUUAUAGCUUGCUAUAAUUGUCAGCUAAGUGGCGCACGGGUGAGUAAUGUAUAGGUAAUAUGCCUCUUACUAAGGGAUAACAAAUGGAAACGUUUGCUAAUACCUUAUACUCCUUAUUAACAGAAGUUAAUAAGGGAAAGAUUUAUUGGUAAGAGAUUAGCCUGUAUUGUAUCAGUUAGUUGGGGGGGUAAUGGCUUACCAAGACUAUGAAACAUAACUGGUUGGAGAGAUUAAGCAGUCACCAGGGACCUGAGACACGGUCAAGACGCCGAGGGGGGGCAGCAGUGGGGAAUAUUACACAAUGAACGAAAGUCUGAUGCGGCAACGCCGCUUGGAGGUUGAAAAAUUCCGGUGCGUAAACUCCUUUUAUAUGAGAAGAUAAAGACGGUAUUAUAGCAAUAAGCACCGGCUAACACCGUGCAAGCCGCCGCGGUAA
RNAcentral lists this ribosomal RNA (484 nucleotides) under uncultured bacterium. RNAcentral describes it as "partial 16S ribosomal RNA". It matches the Rfam family "Bacterial small subunit ribosomal RNA", at positions 29 to 523 of the family's 1533-position model. The record is from RNAcentral.